This 23-nucleotide non-coding RNA is filed under the name Arabidopsis thaliana (thale cress). Lineage: Eukaryota; Viridiplantae; Streptophyta; Magnoliopsida; Brassicales; Brassicaceae. The record is from RNAcentral.
GAUACCCCAAUGGAGAUGGCCUA